RNAcentral lists this ribosomal RNA (489 nucleotides) under marine sediment bacterium ISA-6338. Its description in RNAcentral is "bacterial SSU rRNA". It matches the Rfam family "Bacterial small subunit ribosomal RNA", at positions 37 to 505 of the family's 1533-position model. The record is from RNAcentral.
UGGCGGCAGGCCUAACACAUGCAAGUCGAGCGGAAACGAGUUAUCUGAACCUUCGGGGAACGAUAACGGCGUCGAGCGGCGGACGGGUGAGUAAUGCCUAGGAAAUUGCCCUGAUGUGGGGGAUAACCAUUGGAAACGAUGGCUAAUACCGCAUGAUGCCUACGGGCCAAAGAGGGGGACCUUCGGGCCUCUCGCGUCAGGAUAUGCCUAGGUGGGAUUAGCUAGUUGGUGAGGUAAGGGCUCACCAAGGCGACGAUCCCUAGCUGGUCUGAGAGGAUGAUCAGCCACACUGGAACUGAGACACGGUCCAGACUCCUACGGGAGGCAGCAGUGGGGAAUAUUGCACAAUGGGCGCAAGCCUGAUGCAGCCAUGCCGCGUGUGUGAAGAAGGCCUUCGGGUUGUAAAGCACUUUCAGUCGUGAGGAAGGCGGUGUCGUUAAUAGCGGCAUUAUUUGACGUUAGCGACAGAAGAAGCACCGGCUAACUCCG